This 398-nucleotide ribosomal RNA is filed under the name uncultured bacterium. Its description in RNAcentral is "partial 16S ribosomal RNA". It matches the Rfam family "Bacterial small subunit ribosomal RNA", at positions 523 to 918 of the family's 1533-position model. The record is from RNAcentral.
AUACGUAGGGUGCGAGCGUUGUCCGGAAUUACUGGGCGUAAAGAGCUCGUAGGUUGUUUGUCGCGUCGUCUGUGAAAUUCCGGGGCUUAACUCCGGGCGUGCAGGCGAUACGGGCAUAACUUGAGUACUGUAGGGGAGACUGGAAUUCCUGGUGUAGCGGUGAAAUGCGCAGAUAUCAGGAGGAACACCGGUGGCGAAGGCGGGUCUCUGGGCAGUAACUGACGCUGAGGAGCGAAAGCAUGGGUAGCGAACAGGAUUAGAUACCCUGGUAGUCCAUGCCGUAAACGGUGGGCGCUAGGUGUAGGGGUCUUCCACGACUUCUGUGCCGUAGCUAACGCAUUAAGCGCCCCGCCUGGGGAGUACGGCCGCAAGGCUAAAACUCAAAUGAAUUGACGGGG